UUCUUCGAUUGGGGUCAGGUUUCUCCAAGUGACGUUGCCUCACAUAUCUGGCUAUUUGGUUUCUUGUUUGUCAUUGGCUUUGGUAGCAUUUUUCGAUUGAUCUUGUGGGGUUUUUUGAGUGUGUGGAAGUACUACGAUUGUUUGUCCGACUUGGGUGGACAUGGCAGUUACAUCGCAAGCCAAUGCCCAGGAGGUCGCGGCGGUGAAGAAAGAUGCUGUGAGGGACAAGUCUGUGUACAGCCCUGUGCAGUUGAGUCGGAUUGAUCAUACGCCAACGUUGCCUGCUGUGUUGCAGGGAAAUUUCAAGCUUAAUCAUGGGCCUCCCACGACUGCGGCGGGGCAACCUGAGGAGAUCCAGAAGCUAUUCCCCUGCCUGUAUGGACAACCCUCAGUGCAGCUCGUGGAAAGCGACGCUCCGACAUACAACGUGGACCAGAAGCUGAAGGUUGGGGUGGUGUUGUCUGGCGGGCAAGCUCCUGGGGGCCACAAUGUGAUUGCAGGUUUCUUCGAUUAUCUCCAGACGCACGCCCCCGGGAGUGUCUUGUAUGGAUUCAAGGGUGGUCCGGCUGGGAUCAUGCGAAACAAUGUGGUGGAGAUUACCGCCGACUUCCUAUACCCAUACAGGAACCAGGGAGGGUUCGACAUUAUAUGCAGUGGGAGGGAUAAGAUUGAGUCUCCCGAGCAGUUCCAGCAGGCUGUGGAUACCGUGACGAAGUUGGACUUGGAUGGUCUGGUGGUAAUCGGAGGCGAUGACUCCAACACGAAUGCGGCUCUUCUGGGUGAGCACUUUAGGGCAAAGAAGGUGAGGACCCAUGUCAUCGGGUGCCCAAAGACUAUUGACGGGGAUUUGAAGUCCCCGGAAGUGCCAAUUAGUUUCGGAUUCGACACUGCUUGCAAGAUAUAUGCCGAAAUGAUAGGCAACAUCAUGGUGGAUGCACGAUGCACUGGGAAGUACUAGCACUUCGUUAGGCUUAUGGGCAUAGCUGCUUCCCAUAUCACUCUNNAGUGCGCGCUUCAGACCCACCCUAACGUCGCCAUCAUGGGGAGGAGGUGAACGCGCAAAAGAAAACCCUGAGACAAGUUACGAACAGCAUCGCGGAUAUUGUGUGCAAGCGUGCAGUGGCAGGCAAACAAUACGGUGUGGUGCUGAUCCCAGAGGGGCUGAUUGACUUCAUACCUGAGAUCCAACACCUCAUCUCAGAGCUCAACGAUAUCCUCGCCAGCCAGGGCUGCGACGACCAUGGGCACUGGAAGGCUACCCUAAAACCAUCCUCUAGGGCGCUCUUCGACUCUCUCCCCCACAGCAUUCAGGAGGAACUUCUUCUCGAGCGUGACCCGCACGGCAAUGUCCAAGUCUCCCGAAUCGAGAUGGAGAAGAUGUUGAUCUCAAUGAUUGAGACCGAACUCAACGCCCGGAGGCACGAAGGGGGCUACUCCGGCCAAUUCAAGGGUCAAGCCCAUUUCUUCGGCUACGAGGGCCGAUGUGGGAUGCCGACCAACUUCGACGCCACGUAUUGCUACGCGCUCGGAUUCGCAGCAGGAGCUCUUAUGCACUUGGGCCAGACAGGACUGAUUGCCUCUGUUGCCAAUCUCACCGCACCUGCCGCAGAGUGGACCGUGGGCGGAACCGCCCUUACACAGCUAAUGGACGUAGAGAGGCGUAAGGGAAGGAAUAAGCCCGUGAUCAAGAAGGCUAUGGUUGAACUUGGUGGCGCCCCCUUCAAGAAGUUUGCGUCUGUACGUGACGUUUGGGCCGUGGAGGACAGCUACGUUAGCCCCGGCCCUAUCCAGUUCGCAGGCCCUACUGCUGACGAGACUAACUUUACUUUGAAGCUCGAGCUUGGGGCUUCAGUAAAUUUGUAGGUGAUGAAGAAGAUGUUAAUUUGAAUGAUCUCGCGAGGUUAAGAUGUGGAUAAGAAGCCCGUUCCUUCAAUGAUGUUUGUCGAAAGUCAGCUUCGAUGCCUCAUUGAUGUGCAUCACAAGCGACUGAGCCAGCCGUUGCACGGUAGAUGAUGGCGCCGUCGAAUUCACUGCUGGUCUAGAAUCCUGCCUGAAACUUCUUAGGAUUCUUUUCGUUCAUGAGAAGGUCAAAAUUGAUGAGAUGUGCUGCUUUGCCGAACGAGCAAUUUUGAAGGGAAAGGAACUGGAGCCGUUGCGGUGGUUCUGUUCAGUCUUGAAUACAAUGUCAGAUUAUGUGACACACUUCGACAUUGUUCUUCUUCAUUUGGUGUUGUCAUACUGACCCACGAGAUGAGGACGUUGUGAUAUUUUCUCCUACUGAUGUUUUUGGAACGAAGCCGUGAACAUUGUCAAGUCUUGAUUUUUUUAUGUGUCGCAGUUCAUGCAUCUGUUAUAUUGGACAUCUGUAACUUUAUUUU
Molecule: non-coding RNA, 2378 nt
Organism: Physcomitrium patens
Lineage: Eukaryota; Viridiplantae; Streptophyta; Bryopsida; Funariales; Funariaceae
Source: RefSeq, a predicted model, not a curated record